This 500-nucleotide ribosomal RNA is filed under the name uncultured bacterium. RNAcentral describes it as "partial 16S ribosomal RNA". It matches the Rfam family "Bacterial small subunit ribosomal RNA", at positions 29 to 507 of the family's 1533-position model. The record is from RNAcentral.
AAUCAACGCUGGCGGCGUGCCUAACACAUGCAAGUCGAACGCGAAAGCCCCGCAAGGGGUAAGUAGAGUGGCAAACGGGUGAGUAACACGUGGGUGACCUGCCUUCGAGUGGGGGAUAACGUCCCGAAAGGGACGCUAAUACCGCAUGACAUCCUGCUUUUGAAAAAGCGGAGAUCAAAGCUGGGGAUCGCAAGACCUAGCGCUUGAAGAGGGGCCCGCGCCUGAUUAGCUAGUUGGUGAGGUAACGGCUCACCAAGGCGACGAUCAGUAUCCGGCCUGAGAGGGCGGACGGACACGCUGGGACGGAGACACGGCCCAGACUCCUACGGGAGGCAGCAGUGGGGAAUUGUUCGCAAUGGGCGCAAGCCUGACGACGCAACGCCGCGUGGAGGACGAAGAUCUUCGGGUCGUAAACGCCUGUCGGGCGGGACGAACGCUUCGCGGAUGAAUAAUCCGCGGAAUUGACGGUACCGCUAAAGGAAGCCCCGGCUAACUCCGUG